UGAUUAGGUGGCUUAACUAAAGCGUCCGGCUUUUAACCGGAACAUGGAAGGUAAAAUCCUCCUCUAAUUAA
This 71-nucleotide transfer RNA is filed under the name Tegillarca granosa. RNAcentral describes it as "tRNA-Lys". It matches the Rfam family "tRNA". Rfam says of the family: Transfer RNA (tRNA) molecules are approximately 80 nucleotides in length. Their secondary structure includes four short double-helical elements and three loops (D, anti-codon, and T loops). Further hydrogen bonds mediate the characteristic L-shaped molecular structure. tRNAs have two regions of fundamental functional importance: the anti-codon, which is responsible for specific mRNA codon recognition, and the 3' end, to which the tRNAs corresponding amino acid is attached (by aminoacyl-tRNA synthetases). tRNAs cope with the degeneracy of the genetic code in two manners: having more than one tRNA (with a specific anti-codon) for a particular amino acid; and 'wobble' base-pairing, i.e. permitting non-standard base-pairing at the 3rd anti-codon position. Lineage: Eukaryota; Metazoa; Mollusca; Bivalvia; Arcoida; Arcidae. The record is from RNAcentral.